This 253-nucleotide ribosomal RNA is filed under the name uncultured bacterium. Its description in RNAcentral is "partial 16S ribosomal RNA". It matches the Rfam family "Bacterial small subunit ribosomal RNA", at positions 524 to 776 of the family's 1533-position model. The record is from RNAcentral.
UACGUAGGGGGCAAGCGUUAUCCGGAUUUAUUGGGCGUAAAGAGCUCGUAGGCGGCCGUUCGCGUCGGAUGUGAAAGCUCAGGGCUCAACUCUGAGACGCCAUUCGAUACGGGACGGCUAGAGGUAGGUAGGGGAGAGUGGAAUUCCUGGUGUAGCGGUGAAAUGCGCAGAUAUCAGGAGGAACACCGGUGGCGAAGGCGGCUCUCUGGGCCUUACCUGACGCUGAGGAGCGAAAGCAUGGGGAGCGAACAGG